ACUCCCAAAUUCAAAACCUCAACGCCCCCACCCAAGCUCGUGGCCCCACCGCGCUUAGCUCCCAGCAGUUCGAGCCUGGAGCAUCCUCCACGGCUCCGCCGGGUUUCUCCUUCGCGCCGCCGCUAGGCCUCUUCUCUCUUGCGCUGGUACCUGGUAGCCACGUGCUUGAGGAAGGCUGCUUGAGGCAGAGGAAGAGGCGGCAGUGAGGGAGACAAGGAGCGCGGUGACCCUGGAUUCACCGGAUGCAGCGGCCUCGAAUUCGAGCAGCGCGCAUCACUCACGACGGAGAAGACGAAGACGCGGGGUCGCUUUCCACGAUUGCCAAACGGGCCGCUGUUACGGAGGAGGAUUAGGAGCACACGCGGACACGCCCUCGGCUCCCUACCCGAGGAACUGCCACUCUCUCCGCCGCGUCCCCAGUUCAAUUCCCCCCAGGCUCCCGAAAGGCAGGGCAACCCAAACGGCAUCGGCCGCCCGACAGAACGCGGCCGGAGCAGUUCGUCGCGCCGCGCGGCCUAUCAAAAGUUUUCGGACGGAGACGAGACUGGGUUCUGAACCCGACCCGCCGCAGAUAGCCUGGCCGCAGUGAUCUCUAGCGGGGAUCGAGCUGUGCCGGAUGGAUCGAGUGGGGCUCCAGGCGUUCUGCAAGCGGCACGGCCUCUCUGCCAGGGGCUCCAACGCCGAUCUCAUUGCCCGUCUUGACGCCGCGCUCGGGAGGGCUGCUGGUGCGGAGGAGGCGGCGGCUGGAGUGGCAGCGAGGAAGGCUUGUGUGAGGCAAACUGGCGGCGAUGCUGACGAGACGAAGAAGGUUACUUUUGUAGAGGUGGGCGGAGAUGUCCCUGUGAAGCUGUCUAGGAGGAAUUCGCUGGGCGCACAUGUCCCUGUGAGGCGGUCCAGGAGGAAUUCGCUGGGCGCAGAUGUCCUUGUGAGGCAGUCCAGCAGAAACUCGCUAUGUGCUGAGGCUCAAGACUGUGAACUGAGGUCCCAGGUCACCUGUUCGCCUGUUGUUGCCAAGACAAGGGGGAAGUCUGCUCAAGCCGGUUCUGUAGAGGUGGGCGCAGUUGUCCCUUUGAGGCGUUCCAGGAGAAAUUCACUGAGAGCUGCCGAGUCUGAAGAAGUAGAAGUGGCUGUUUUUGUUGACAGGAAGCGCAAGUGCAAGAACCAGGAGAAUGAUAAGGGUGUUGUUCUCAGCGCUCAGGUUGGAGCUUCGUCCAGAGUUACAAGAAGAUCAAGCUUGGCGGUGGCUGCUGCUGUGUUGCCUCCUCUUGUUGAACCGAAGAGAGGGAGGGGAGAAGCAGCUGGCGUUCAGACUUCUACUCAGGUGGAAGUACCGGCUAGGAUUACAAGAUCUCGCUCAAUAGCACCGGUUGUAAUGUCACCUACUGUGGUUGAGAACAAGAGGAGGAAGAAUGGAGAUGCACAAACAAAUGUAGAGCUGCCUACGGUUUCAGAUGUGCCUAGAAAUGAUGCUCCUGUCACCAGGUCUUUGAGAAAUAGAGUUGUCCAGGUUAACAACAGUGUGGUGGACGCGAACAAACCGGCAACUAAAGAACCUGUUAGGGGAUUGAGACGAAGAUCUGUUGUCUCAGAAUUGCACGAGAAAGAGAAAGAUGUGGAGAAACAAUUAAUUGUGAAGCAACCUGUUAGGCGCUCAUCACGUAAAUCUGUUCUACCUGAUAUGCUUGAGAACAAUAUCCAAAGCGGUAAAUCUCAAGAUAAUGAGAAGGAACAGAAACUAAAGGAACCAAUUAGGCGAUCAAGGAGAUCUGUUGCCACAGUGUUGCUUGAGGAACAAAACAGUGGUCUUCAUGAGGAAAAAUUGUCAAAACUUACUAUGAGGAGAUCAACACGUAAAUCUGUUGCACUUAAUGGUGUUGAAAAGACGAGCAUGGAUCACACUGAAAUAGUUGUGCAGUCCGAAACUUUAAAGGGAAGGUCUUCAAAGAGGAGACGGACAAUUGAUCCAGUAGAAAUGAUGCCUGUCAAGGAGGCAAAUGAUGACAUGAUUAUCAGGGAAGCAACAAUAGACACACACAAAGCUACUCAUGAGUACAAUAAGUCUACUAGCAGAAUUCAAGAAAGUUGUCAGGUUAAUGCCACAAGAGAAGAGUUCUCUUCAGGUCCAUUGCUUGUAACAGUAACACCGACUAAUGAGAUUUACACCGUGCAGAGUAUACAUGAAGUGGUACCUGGGUCAGAAUCUGGUGACAAUGCAAAGGAAAAUUUAGAUAAGAGUAAACAGCCUCAGGAACAUCAUGACAUUCAAGCUGUUGAUAGCCAUUUAUCUGAAACAAGAAGUGGGGAAUUAGAUCAAUCAUCAUGCAUUGCAGGACUAGUACCACACAAUUGUGUUGCCUCAGAUGACAAAGCUUUGAUCAGUGGAGAUCGUGUAGAGCAAAGCCCUGUAUCUGGAGAAGGGAGAGUUGGCUUGGAAGCAAAUGCCAUUGAGUCUGGAGAAAAGAACCUAACUGGCAUCAUGUCCACUGCUCUCUACACCAAAAGUCUGCAACAUGAUAUUGACAUAGUAGCUGAAGAGACUGCCAAAGGUGACCUCGAAAAACCUUCACUAUGUUCAUUAGCACAAAAGUGUAAACAUCAAUGUGGUUUGCUUGAGGAAAUAGUAUUGCCCUCAAGGAACAUGGGAUCUUUACCAAAUGCAGAAGAAUCACCAUUUGGCCUAGAGUCUUUGUUCUGGCAGGAAAGCAUACAUGAAUCUGUGGAAUAUGGUGCACCUGCUUCUGCAACAACUCAUACUGAAAAUGGAUUUGGUGAAUCAAAAGGUUGCCAUGUCAAGUCUGCACUCGAAAAUACUCAUGUGUCAGAACCUUUUUCCCACCAUGAUACUGAAGAAAAUAUUUCCAAAAUUGGUGGUUGCAUGCAUACAUCCCAGCAAGAUAAUGGAAUGGAAGAUGCUAUCGAGAAUCCUUUAAUUAGUUUAUCAACUCCUGGUUGCAAGCAUGAAGGUGCUUUGUCUGAGGAAGCAGUGCACACAAUGAAGGAUUAUGCUGGAACAUGCUCAUCAAAUCCCAGGGUACCCAUGCAGUUGCAUGACGACCUUGCAUUCCCAGGUCCUGAAAAAUCAGGAGAUGAAUCAGUCAAUAUUGAGGUUAAAGUACACCAUGGUUCUAAUCUGUCUCAGUUAGGAUCAACUGAUCUCUUGGAUGAUACUGAAUUGCUUCACCAGGGCCAUAACUAUAAAGAUCGAUCCAAUGAGGAUAUGCUAGAGCAGGCUGCUUCUGAACCCUGCACAAAUGGGGAUGAUAUCGUGGAGGCUGCGGCUGCUACCAAAUGCUUAGAAAGUGGAGCGAUGCUGGUUCCAUCCGAAGAGAGAUCAAAUUUGAACGAUAGGCAGCUUACCCCCAAGCUGGAAAGCCCAGACAUCAUGGAAUCUGGCCUUAACUGUGAUAAAGAUGCUCGCAAUACUUUGGACAAUGGAUCUGUUGUGGCUGUUGCUGGUAAGAGAACUCCAUCUGGUUCUGGUCACUAUGAACACAAUGUCUACCAAGUUUCAGGCAUUUGUGCUACGUCUGAAGCUGCACCAGUCGGAGUGGUAGAAACUGGAAUAGCUGUGGAAACGUCAUCCCUGGUAGAUGACCAACCUAAUCCUGUGCUGGAUGGUGAUGAAGUUGAGAAGCACAGCUUAAACUGUGAGGCAGACACUGGUCGGAUUCUUGGUACUGGAUCUGUUACGAGCAACACAACCCUUGUGCCCAAGGACGGUCACACCAUUUGUUGCCAGGAACUGGAGCUACCAAAUGGCUUAUCCUCGUUUCUAUUUCCCGAAGAAUCUGGAAUUUGUCAGUAUGCGAGUGUCUCAGGAUCAGCUUCUACUAUGUGUCAGGGCCUUGCCUGCAGCACGUAAAUGAAAGCACCAGUACGCAAGCGACUUACAAUAUUGAAACGCUCAAUCAGCAGCAUCACGAGGAGUACGACCAAACCGCUCGUGGUAUCCUGGCUAGCAGUUUUCCUGAAGCUGUAGGGAUUGAACAGUCAGGUCUGGCCCCUGCUGCAGAAGCACCAGUGUUGGCAGUGCCAGAUGGGCAGCCUAACAGCAAGCUGGAGGGCAACGAAGUGGAUGAGCACAGCUGUAGCUAUGAUGCCGAGUUCCUGAACAGAGAAGCGUCUAACCUUCACAAAGAUCUGUUUAGUGAAGAUAGUCAUCGAAGUCAUCUACCUUCUCUGAGAUCUCCUCAACGAUCUGCCUAUUUUCACAACGGAAAUGAUUCGGGUUCAGUAGGAGUCUGUCAAAGCAGCAGGCGAGGAGGUGUAGACGGACUCCGCGCUAAGCGGCAGAGUUUCAAAGUUUCCAGCAGCAUAAAAGGAAGCUACGUCGCCAAGACUAGCGUCCCUCGUCCGAAGCCAGGGGACAGCCUGAGCCAGUCUGCGAUAGCGCUGCGCGGGGUCAGGAAGAACACGACCGCUGUUGAAGUUGGUGGCCAUCCUGUGAGUUUGAAGCCAAACGCUGUUCGCUCGGUCGCCAAGGACCCAUCAUCCAGCAGAGGACCACCCAGGGAUAGCCUGAGCCAGUCUGCGAUAGCGCUGCCUAAACACAGAAAGGACGCCACUGCUGUUAAGAGCAAGACUAAUAAUAAACCUUGGCUAUAAUAAGGCAGCAGGCUUACAUACAUCACUACUCCGAUUUCAUACUCCACUGUACAAACAUUGUAAUUUGAUGGUUGUGUGGUUCCGGAUUUAUUUUCAGCACGGAAAGAAGGAAAAAAAAGAAGGAAAUCAGAAAAUAGUCCUGUUCGUUGUUAUCGCGAUCA
This is an RNA transcript of Zea mays, 4766 nucleotides long. RefSeq lists it as uncharacterized. The transcript is spliced from 8 exons. NCBI's taxonomy places the organism in Eukaryota, Viridiplantae, Streptophyta, Magnoliopsida, Poales, Poaceae. The record is from RefSeq and is a predicted model, not a curated record.